RNAcentral lists this transfer RNA (87 nucleotides) under Chloroflexota bacterium. Its description in RNAcentral is "tRNA-Leu". It matches the Rfam family "tRNA". Rfam says of the family: Transfer RNA (tRNA) molecules are approximately 80 nucleotides in length. Their secondary structure includes four short double-helical elements and three loops (D, anti-codon, and T loops). Lineage: Bacteria; Bacillati; Chloroflexota. The record is from RNAcentral.
GCCGGGAUGGCGGAAUGGUAGACGCGGCGGACUUAAAAUCCGCUACCUUUGCGGGUGUGUGGGGUUUGAGUCCCUCUCCCGGCACCA